UUCGGCACCCUAGAUUUAUCUAUUUUUGGAUAAAUUUUAUUUAUUAUUUUUGGAGAUUACUCAUGGCUACAGGUCGCGUAAAAUGGUUCGACGAGCAAAAAGGUUUUGGUUUCAUCGAGCGUCCAGACGGUAAAGAUGUAUUCGUACACUUCCGUGCUAUUCAAAGCGAAGGUUACAAAACUUUAGCUGAAGGCCAAGAAGUUACUUUUGAAGUAGAAGAAGGUCCAAAAGGUCCUCAAGCUGCUAACGUAAAAGUUGCUUAAUCUGGCUUUUAAGGCAUAAGUCUCCAAUUAGUCUUCAGAUUAAUUAGACA
This 313-nucleotide non-coding RNA is filed under the name Agarivorans albus MKT 106. RNAcentral describes it as "cspA thermoregulator". It matches the Rfam family "cspA thermoregulator", at positions 103 to 428 of the family's 428-position model. The record is from Rfam by way of RNAcentral. Lineage: Bacteria; Pseudomonadati; Pseudomonadota; Gammaproteobacteria; Alteromonadales; Alteromonadaceae.